GUCUUGGUGGCUCAGUUGGCAGAGCGCUGGAGUACCGAUCCAGUAGAGUUCGUGAGUUCAAGUCUCACCCAAGGCA
Cydia strobilella is the source of this 76-nucleotide non-coding RNA. Lineage: Eukaryota; Metazoa; Arthropoda; Insecta; Lepidoptera; Tortricidae. The record is from the annotation of a RefSeq genome assembly.